GGGGGGUUAGUCCAAACAAGACCUCUGAUUUCGACUCAGAAAAUCGCGGUUAAAACCCACGACCCCCUU
This 69-nucleotide transfer RNA is filed under the name Bathytroctes breviceps. RNAcentral describes it as "tRNA-Arg". It matches the Rfam family "tRNA". From Rfam's summary of the family: Transfer RNA (tRNA) molecules are approximately 80 nucleotides in length. Their secondary structure includes four short double-helical elements and three loops (D, anti-codon, and T loops). Lineage: Eukaryota; Metazoa; Chordata; Actinopteri; Alepocephaliformes; Alepocephalidae. The record is from RNAcentral.